UAUUGGACAAUGGGCGCAAGCCUGAUCCAGCCAUGCCGCGUGAGUGAUGAAGGCCUUAGGGUUGUAAAGCUCUUUCAGUAGGGACGAUAAUGACGGUACCCAAAGAAGAAGCUCCGGCUAACUUCGUGCCAGCAGCCGCGGUAAUACGAAGGGGGCUAGCGUUGUUCGGAUUUACUGGGCGUAAAGCGCGUGUAGGCGGGCUGGAAAGUUGGGGGUGAAAUCCCGAGGCUCAACCUCGGAACUGCCUCCAAAACUUCCAGCCUGGACUCAAGCAGAGGCAAGUGGAAUUGCGAGUGUAGAGGUGAAAUUCGUAGAUAUUCGCAGGAACACCAGUGGCGAAGGCGACUUGCUGGGCUUGUAGUGACGCUGAGACGCGAAAGCGUGGGGAGCAAACAGG
Molecule: ribosomal RNA, 397 nt
Filed under: uncultured bacterium
Lineage: Bacteria
Description: bacterial SSU rRNA
Rfam family: Bacterial small subunit ribosomal RNA
Source: RNAcentral